Molecule: long non-coding RNA, 537 nt
Organism: Mesoplodon densirostris (Blainville's beaked whale)
Lineage: Eukaryota; Metazoa; Chordata; Mammalia; Artiodactyla; Ziphiidae
Exons: 3
Source: RefSeq, a predicted model, not a curated record
UGAAGGCCUGAAGCCAGCCGGGCCCCCGGACUACGGGUCCAGCCUGGCCGCCCCCUGGGGCUUGUCUUCCAGCAAGCCACCUGGCCUUUCUGAGCCUGUUUCCACAUCUGGAGAACAGGACAAGACCUGCCCUGCCAACAGGCUUUUUGUGAGGAUGUAAGCUCUGGAAGGCAGAAACUCUCACCUUUGGAGUCCCUCCCACACCUCACUCCUGCCUGGCUCCUAGUGCGGGCUCAAGAAAUAUUGCUGAUGGACUGAUUUGUAACCAAGGGAUCUGCUCUCCCCACCCCGUACCAGAGAGGGCCAGCAUGGACGGGAACUCCCAGCAGUUGUAGACUCCAAGGGAGUCGGUGGCACAGCUAUACCAGAGGUUCUCGAAGACGGUGCUGGUGGUGAUGACGUUCCCGUGCACGGUGGACACUCGCCAGCUGCUGUGUGUCAGGGUCACCCCUAGCAUCAGCAGUCCCAGGGCUGAGAUGAAGAAGCCGAAGAUCUCCACAGCCACCGACAUGGUGGGACACAGGCCCCGAGGGGAGA